AUAUAAGUGCACACUGCUCUCAGGAGUAGUGGGGCUAAUUAGAGGGACUGCCGUCGCUGAGACGGAGGAAGGAGGGGGCUACGGCAGGUCAGUAUGCCCCGAAACCCUCGGGCCACACGCGGGCUGCAAUGGUAAGGACAAUAAGUUCCUAUUCCGAAAGGAGGAGGUAAUCUCCAAACCUUACCUCAGUUAUGAUUGAGGGCUGAAACUCGCCCUCAUGAAUAUGGAAUCCCUAGUAACCGCGUGUCACAAUCGCGCGGUGAAUACGUCCCUGCUCCUUGCACAAAA
RNAcentral lists this ribosomal RNA (288 nucleotides) under uncultured archaeon. RNAcentral describes it as "partial 16S ribosomal RNA". It matches the Rfam family "Archaeal small subunit ribosomal RNA", at positions 1058 to 1343 of the family's 1478-position model. The record is from RNAcentral.